AUAUCAGCCAUGAUCCGGUGAAUACGUUCCCGGGCCUUGUACACACCGCCCGUCAAGCCAUGGAAGCUGGGGGUGCCUGAAGUCGGUGACCGCAAGGAGCUGCCUAGGGUAAAACUGGUAACUAGGGCUAAGUCGUAACAAGGUAGCCGUACCGGAAGGUGCGGCUGGAACACCUCCUUUCUAGAGCCUUAU
RNAcentral lists this ribosomal RNA (192 nucleotides) under Flavobacterium hiemivividum. Its description in RNAcentral is "Flavobacterium sp. TSA-D2 partial 16S ribosomal RNA". It matches the Rfam family "Bacterial small subunit ribosomal RNA", at positions 1346 to 1533 of the family's 1533-position model. The record is from RNAcentral. Lineage: Bacteria; Pseudomonadati; Bacteroidota; Flavobacteriia; Flavobacteriales; Flavobacteriaceae.